AGUGAACGCUGGCGGUAGGCCUAACACAUGCAAGUCGAACGGCAGCACAGUAAGAGCUUGCUCUUACGGGUGGCGAGUGGCGGACGGGUGAGGAUACAUCGGAAUCUACUUUUUCGUGGGGGAUAACGUAGGGAAACUUACGCUAAUACCGCAUACGACCUACGGGUGAAAGCAGGGGAUCUUCGGACCUUGCGCGACUGAAUGAGCCGAUGUCGGAUUAGCUAGUUGUCGGGGUAAAGGCCCACCAAGGCGACGAUCCGUAGCUGGUCUGAGAGGAUGAUCAGCCACACUGGAACUGAGACACGGUCCAGACUCCUACGGGAGGCAGCAGUGGGGAAUAUUGGACAAUGGGCGCAAGCCUGAUCCAGCCAUACCGCGUGGGUGAAGAAGGCCUUCGGGUUGUAAAGCCCUUUUGUUGGGAAAGAAAAGCAGCAGGUUAAUACCCCGCUGUUCUGACGGUACCCAAAGAAUAAGCACCGGCUAACUUCGUG
RNAcentral lists this ribosomal RNA (491 nucleotides) under uncultured bacterium. Its description in RNAcentral is "partial 16S ribosomal RNA". It matches the Rfam family "Bacterial small subunit ribosomal RNA", at positions 29 to 507 of the family's 1533-position model. The record is from RNAcentral.